AACGAACGCUGGCGGCAUGCCUAACACAUGCAAGUCGAACGGGAUCCUGGCUUCGGUCAGGUGAGAGUGGCGGACGGGUGAGUAACGCGUGGGAACCUGCCCAGUGGUGGGGGAUAACUGCGGGAAACUGCAGCUAAUACCGCAUGAGCCCGAGAGGGGAAAGAUUUAUCGCCAUUGGAGGGGCCCGCGUUCGAUUAGGUAGUUGGUGAGGUAACGGCUCACCAAGCCGACGAUCGAUAGCUGGUCUGAGAGGAUGAUCAGCCACACUGGGACUGAGAUACGGCCCAGACUCCUACGGGAGGCAGCAGUGGGGGAAUAUUGGACAAUGGGGGGCAACCCUGAUCCAGCAAUGCCGCGUGAGUGAUGAAGGCCUUCGGUUGU
Molecule: ribosomal RNA, 381 nt
Filed under: uncultured bacterium
Lineage: Bacteria
Description: bacterial SSU rRNA
Rfam family: Bacterial small subunit ribosomal RNA
Source: RNAcentral